UGGAACUGAUCACCGAGUCCUCUAAGCCAGAAGUGAUUGCAGAAAACAUCUUGUUCAGGGCCCUUGAGCAAAAUUCCCACUGCUGUGUGUCUAUGGCACACAUCACUAAUAGAUUACUGCACUUACCCUUUGUAGAACCCUUACCGGACUCACCUGCGAUGAGUUGAGAAUCCACAUGGAAGAAUCCACAAGUUCUCUGUGUGAUCCCACAUCUAGUCCAAAAGCACAGAGAGGCUGUGAAACUUGCCCAAGGUCACACAGCUAGUGUGUGGCGGAGCUGGGACACAGAUUAAAAGCUUUGCCCUUUAGGUGUGUGUUUUCUCUACCACAUCAGAGUUUCUCUGGUGGGGGACUUGAAGCACUGUGGGCAGGGUAAUUUGCACUGCAUUAAACAACAUUAAGUCACCUUAUCAACUGUCUUUUACUACUGAUUACUUCAAGGAGGAAAUCUCAAUUUGGAGCUUAUAUAUAUAUAUAUAUAAUAUAUGGGCCCCAGGAUCAGACAUUGUUGGCCGACGGAUCUUGCUAGAGUUGUUUUGCUUCUUCUGGUAUAUUUUACACGGGUACUUAUUGCAAGUCAUCCUAAGUUUCCAUUUUUGGAAAUUGCCAUUAAUUUUUUUUUCAUUUUAUAAUACAUCUAUAUUAGUAGUGAAAGAGUGGUCGGAUUUUAAGGAAAAAUCCUGAAGAGGAGCACAGAUGAGAGAUGCAUGGGUACCGCAAAGUUGCGCGGGCCCAGGGAGGAUGCCCGAGCUUUGGGAAAGUCUCGGAGGGGCGCCUCUGAGGGCGCUGUCCCCUACUCUCCUGCAGGAGCUGUCGGCCGAGCAGAUCGCCUCCCUGGGUCCUGAAAACGCGGCGGCGGUGACCCCUGCCCAGCGCCGGCAGCUCAGCAUGUUGCAGCUGCAGAGCCUCCAGCGGGCGGUAGAUGGCGCCAAGGCUCGCUCCUGGCUGGACGCGCCUCCGAGCGCCAGCCCCGCCCGGACCCCCUCCUCUCUUUCUCCUCCAGGAGCCUGGGUCUCCGGGGGUCUUGGGCUGGGCUACCCUCUCCUGGUCCUGAUGCCCAAGCUUAUGUGGUGAGUGGUGUUUGCGCAUCGCCCUGGGGCUCAGGCAGCUGGCCAAGGUGCUUGCAGACCGCGAGGACGCUGCAGAGGGUGGGAGUCCCCCACCUCGACUCAGAGCCUCAACAAGGGCAAGGAGACCCUGGGACUUUGGAACUGAAGAGGCACUAAAGGAAGAAUAAUUAUUAAAAUAUGGCCUUGCACCUUCUUAAACUGGCUUGUAUCCUCAGCAGGGAGACCUCAUCUCAGCCUCCCUAGUUUUCCAGCUUGGAGACAGAGAAGCUGGGGAGGGGAGACCAUUUCCUGUCAACAGCAUGAAGACAUUAGUACAAGUUAACACCCUCCCUCUCGAGGGAGAUGCCAGCCAGCGAUGGGUGCAGGCCAAGGCCCCCAGUCUCACCAAGGCCUGCUCUGGCUUCUCUUCUGGUUUUAAUUUCCCCUCCUUGGAGAUAUAGGCCAUAUUGGAUUUCUCCUUCUUAGAUAUUUAGCAGAGCUGAAAUAAAUGAAUUCCAUAACAGACGCCGAUAUUCCUGCCUGAUUGUUGGGAUUAAUUGAUGUUUUGGUGGGCAUUGCAUUGCUUGGAAAUUAAAAUAUUUAACAUGGCUCAACAUUAAAUCAAUUUAAAACUACAU
Capra hircus (goat) is the source of this 1687-nucleotide long non-coding RNA. Lineage: Eukaryota; Metazoa; Chordata; Mammalia; Artiodactyla; Bovidae. The record is from Ensembl.